UACGGGGGGGGCAAGCGUUGUUCGGAAUUACUGGGCGUAAAGGGCUCGUAGGCGGCCAACUAAGUCGGAUGUGAAAUCCCCAGGCUUAACCUGGGAACUGCAUCCGAUACUGGAUGGCUUGAAUCCGGGAGAGGGAUGCAGAAUUCCAGGUGUAGCGGUGAAAUGCGUAGAUAUCUGGAGGAAUACCUGUGGCGAAGGCGGCAUCCUGGACCGGCAUUGACGCUGAUGAGCGAAAGCUAGGGGAGCAAACGGG
Molecule: ribosomal RNA, 253 nt
Filed under: uncultured bacterium
Lineage: Bacteria
Description: partial 16S ribosomal RNA
Rfam family: Bacterial small subunit ribosomal RNA
Source: RNAcentral